This 74-nucleotide non-coding RNA is filed under the name Oceanospirillaceae bacterium. The record is from RNAcentral. Lineage: Bacteria; Pseudomonadati; Pseudomonadota; Gammaproteobacteria; Oceanospirillales; Oceanospirillaceae.
AAGCGAAACGCCUUUUCCCCACUAAAAAAGGCGUCUACCCAACGUGGCAGUUAGGUACUGAUGAGCAGCCAACU